Molecule: ribosomal RNA, 253 nt
Filed under: uncultured bacterium
Lineage: Bacteria
Description: partial 16S ribosomal RNA
Rfam family: Bacterial small subunit ribosomal RNA
Source: RNAcentral
UACAGAGGGGGCUAGCGUUAUUCGGAAUUAUUGGGCGUAAAGGGCGCGUAGGCGGCUUGGCAAGUGGAAGGUGAAAUCCCUCGGCUUAACCGAGGAACUGCCCUCCAAACUGCUUCGCUUGAGACCGGGAGAGGUGAGUGGAAUUCCCAGUGUAGCGGUGAAAUGCGUAGAUAUUGGGAGGAACACCAGUGGCGAAGGCGGCUCACUGGACCGGUACUGACGCUGAUGCGCGAAAGCGUGGGGAGCAAACAGG